UCUCUGGUAGUCCAGUGGGUAGGACUUUGCAGUUCCACUGCAGGGGGCACGGGUUCAACCUCUGGUCAGGGAA
Molecule: transfer RNA, 73 nt
Filed under: Bos taurus (domestic cattle)
Lineage: Eukaryota; Metazoa; Chordata; Mammalia; Artiodactyla; Bovidae
Rfam family: tRNA
About the family: Transfer RNA (tRNA) molecules are approximately 80 nucleotides in length. Their secondary structure includes four short double-helical elements and three loops (D, anti-codon, and T loops).
Source: Rfam by way of RNAcentral